UCUUCUAAUCUGAUUUUUUCAAUUUAUGGUCUUUUUAAGGUAGUAGAAGAGUCUCUACAACCUAGAAGGUAAAAUUACUAACUAACUUUCAACUUACUAACUAUUAAGAUAAGAAAAUAACCUAAGAGGCUUUUAUAAAAUCCAUGUUUAGACACUUUAAAUUAUAAUUGAACUAAGAUAAUUAGAUAUUAAUUAAAAAUUCAAUUUUGAUUAUAAUUUCACUAUAUGAUCAUAUUACAUCACGACAAUAGUCUAUACAUAUGUCCUACCACCAAAACUUCUUUUAUUCCAAAUAUUGAUUUUAUCUCCAAUAAGGUUAAAUGAAUUUCCUCUUAUCUUGUCAAAAUCUUCUC
Molecule: long non-coding RNA, 353 nt
Filed under: Physcomitrium patens
Lineage: Eukaryota; Viridiplantae; Streptophyta; Bryopsida; Funariales; Funariaceae
Description: long non-coding RNA (PPAT_LNC014827)
Source: RNAcentral